This 421-nucleotide ribosomal RNA is filed under the name uncultured eukaryote. Its description in RNAcentral is "SSU rRNA". It matches the Rfam family "Eukaryotic small subunit ribosomal RNA", at positions 592 to 1018 of the family's 1831-position model. The record is from RNAcentral.
CAAUAGCGUAUAUUAAAGUUGUUGCGGUUAAAAGCUCGUAGUUGGAUUUCUGUUGAGGGUGGUCAGUCCGUACUUUGUACGAGUAUUUGAUUCAGCCUUGGCAUCCUCCUGGGGAGCGUAAUUGUACUUGAUUGUAUGAUACGUAAUUCAGGACUUUUACUUUGAGGAAAUUAGAGUGUUCACGGCAGGCGUUUGCCUUGAAUAUGUUAGCAUGGAAUAAUAAUAUAAGACCUCGGUUUUAUUUUGUUGGUUUCUAGAAGCGAGGUAAUGAUUAAUAGGGACAAUUGGGGGUAUUCGAAUUAACGCGUCAGAGGUGGAAUUCUUGGAUUGCGUUACGACGAACUACUGCGAAAGCAUUUACCAAGGAUGUUUUCAUUGAUCAAGAACGAAAGUCAGGGGAUCGAAGACGAUUAGAUACCAU